GGAAGGGUGACACACCAGAGAGUCUGAGGAAACUCUGGACCCUCUACCCUUACACCGUGCCUGUGUAUCUCUUCCUUUGGGUUGUUGCUGAGCUGUAUCCUUUAGAAGAAACCAGUAAACCUAAGGAAAGCAUUUCACUGAGUUCUGUGAGCUGUUCUAGCAAAUGAUUAAACCUGAAGAUAGGGUAUUUGGAACCACUGAUUUACAGCUGGUCGGUCAGAAGUAAGGAAGCAUAACAACACUACAUGGCAGUAGAAGAGUCCAGCGGACGGGGGAAUCACGGAUAACUGAGACGGAGGGCAUGACUGCAGGAAGGGAGUUCCUGUGCAGGCGCGGAGCGGUUGGCCUUGGCACUGGACAGCCACCCAUCAUAAGGAGACGGGAGUCAGGCCGACCAGGAGUUCCAGGAGAAAUAACGGGCGGAGAUCUCCGGUUAACUCAGUGGUUGUUGUCAGUGAAGUGAGAGACUUCCAGCACCUUCCCAUCUCAGCCCUUCGCUGGGAGCCUGGAAGCUGCUAGAAGAGAACGAUCCCAUUUUCCCAGCACCAAACUUAGCACGCGAUAUGCAUGGAUACCCAUUCACUCCGAACCUCAGCAC
Molecule: non-coding RNA, 598 nt
Organism: Vicugna pacos (alpaca)
Lineage: Eukaryota; Metazoa; Chordata; Mammalia; Artiodactyla; Camelidae
Source: RefSeq, a predicted model, not a curated record